GGGUUGUGAGGUUAAGCGACUAAGCGUACACGGUGGAUGCCCUGGCAGUCAGAGGCGAUGAAGGGCGUGCUAAUCUGCGAUAAGCGCCGGUAAGGUGAUAUGAACCGUUAUAACCGGCGAUACCCGAAUGGGGAAACCCAGUGUGAUUCGUCACACUAUCAUUAACUGAAUCCAUAGGUUAAUGAGGCGAACCGGGGGAACUGAAACAUCUAAGUACCCCGAGGAAAAGAAAUCAACCGAGAUUCCCCCAGUAGCGGCGAGCGAACGGGGAGGAGCCCAGAGCCUGAAUCAGCAUGUGUGUUAGUGGAAGCGUCUGGAAAGGCGCGCGAUACAGGGUGACAGCCCCGUACACAAAAGCGCAUGUGCUGUGAGCUCGAUGAGUAGGGCGGGACACGUGGUAUCCUGUCUGAAUAUGGGGGGACCAUCCUCCAAGGCUAAAUACUCCUGACUGACCGAUAGUGAACCAGUACCGUGAGGGAAAGGCGAAAAGAACCCCGGCGAGGGGAGUGAAAAAGAACCUGAAACCGUGUACGUACAAGCAGUGGGAGCACAGGUUUACCUGUGUG
RNAcentral lists this ribosomal RNA (566 nucleotides) under Salmonella enterica subsp. enterica serovar Coeln. RNAcentral describes it as "partial 23S ribosomal RNA". It matches the Rfam family "Bacterial large subunit ribosomal RNA", at positions 1 to 595 of the family's 2925-position model. Lineage: Bacteria; Pseudomonadati; Pseudomonadota; Gammaproteobacteria; Enterobacterales; Enterobacteriaceae. The record is from RNAcentral.